This is a long non-coding RNA of Formica exsecta, 1319 nucleotides long. RefSeq lists it as uncharacterized. Lineage: Eukaryota; Metazoa; Arthropoda; Insecta; Hymenoptera; Formicidae. The record is from RefSeq and is a predicted model, not a curated record. The transcript has 2 exons.
CUAAUUUCUAGAGACUCAAGAAAGUAUCUAUUUUGCAGCCAAUCAAUAUGCUUAAAAAGUUUGUCGUACGACAAAUGUAAUAUCGGCCUUAGCCCUUAAUAAAGAUAAUAGCCAAAAAAGUUCGUUGCCGCCCGUGGGCGGGAACGAACGUGUUCAGACACGUUACGCGUGUGUCCUUUGGAUCAUAUUUUUGAGUUUUAUCUUCCCCUUCUAAAGAGGAAUCCUUUCUAAUUGUUCACUUAAUCCUUCUCACCUGGCCGUGUGGUGGGUAAUUAAUUUGUGCAUUUUAAUGUUUUUAUAUAAAUGUCUAGAAACUGCUCGAUUUCUGCUGUCAAUCUGCCGUCAGAUUGCGCGCAGGCUCUGCGUGAUUUCUGCUGCCAAUCUGCUCACAUUGCCUGUCAGCAGGCUCUGUCGACAAAACCUGAGCUUAAUGUGAUCACAAAUGACUAUGGUUUUGGCAUGAAAUUCUGAUUAAAUUUGCUGCCAAUCUGCGCGCAUGCUGCUAGCAUUUUGCUCUAACUAGCACGCACAGGAACACGCAGCACAUAAUAUUUCAAGUUGCAUAGCCAUUAUAAUUGCUAGCAAAAUGUCUCGUAUGCAAUCUAGUACGCAAAAUCGUACCGUAUGCCGCAGGCUUUAGUUUGCACGUUGAUAUUCUAAGAAGUUCCGACUGACAACGUGUCGGUUUCGGACGUGUUUUUGCGUGCUGCGUAUGUCCUUUGUCUGGACCUUUUUUUGGACUCCCUCCUCUCUUAAGAGGAAUUUUGCGUGUAUUUUACAAACCCAUAAGAAACAAUGGUGUAUGGGCGACUAAUGCCCAACCAGCCAUAAAAGAAAGAAGAAGAAGAUGUAUAUAAAACGCAAGUUCCGACUGACAACGUGUUGGGUUCGGACGUGUUUUUACGUUCUGCGUAUGUCCUUUGUCUGGACCUUUUUUUGGACUCCCUCCUCUUUAGAGGAAUUUUGCUUAUAUUUCACAAACCCAUAAGAAACAAUGGUGUAUGGGCGACUAAUGUCCAACCAGCCAUAAAAGAAAGAAGAAGAAGAAGAAGGUUGAUAUUCUAUUCUUCAAAUCCUACAAUUUUUGUUUCGUUUAUUAGAGAUUAAAAGUUAUUUACUAAAAAAUUCUUCCAUAACUCGUUCUAGGCAUUAUCCAGAAUCAACAAAGUCAAAUUGUGGCAAAUAUCUGAUUCUAUCUGUUAUAUCAUGGGUAGGAUAGGGAUAAAAACGUCGAAGUGUAUUACAAUUCUCCUAUAUUAUUACUUUGAAAAAAAAAAAUAAUAAUUUAAGUAAAAUAUACAUUUUUAUUUACGCAUUUA